AGAUUGCCUACACCUGUUGUAGACAUUGCAUAUUUGGCUAUCCACUGUCGGCCUGAUUCAUUUGGCCCCGGCACUGAUUGUUCCCAGGUGUGAAUCCUUGUGGGAUGUUUCCUUUCUUGUUUUUCAAAGUCCUUAAUAUGUUUUUAGUUGUCCAACUGGCCACUUUCAUGUAUACCUUCUGCCAAAUCUCAGGGACUGUAACACCCAAAAAGUUGGAAUGUGGAACUGUCAUCCAGGUAGACUCUGGGCAGGAUGGAGUCCUACAUUGCUCUGUGAUUCUUGGUGGUGAAUCAUCUCGGGACGUGAUGAUAGAGCAGGUGGUGUGGUGGAAGAAGGACCAGAAUCACCAUCGCACCCAUCCCCCAGUUUUCCAAUACAGCUUAGAUGGUCAACAACCCAAUGAUCCCAGAUUUCUGCCAAGUCAAAGAUAUCAGCUCGCAGGGUCAUUUGGCGUUGAGGAAGAGGGCGACUUGUCCCUGUUGGUCAGAAAAGCCCAGCCUGCAGAUGAAGGUCUGUAUGAGUGUGUGGUGGCCACCAACCUUGGACAGUGGAAUUGUACAAUCAUCCUAGAGGUUACAGGACCAAUGCUUAAGGAUCCUGAGGACCAAAAUGAGAUGCCCAAGAGGAACUUGAUGUGGUUGGCAGCUGUAUUUGUGGUUGUAGGCUCUCUUGCUUCUGGACUGUUGCUUCUCAAGCUGUUUCAAACCACAACACCCUGACGAUGUCUGUACCCAAGAUUACGCUGGUUAUGGUGAACAUUUUGCUGCGAUUGUCUUCAGUCCUUUGUUUUUCUCUCCGUUGUGUCCUACAAACCGCUGCUUUCAACAGUCUGUAAAGAGUGAGGAAUGCAAGAAGAUUAGGAAAGAAUUUCCUGUGUUUCAAAUGCCAGGAUGUUAUUUAUAUUACUUUCUUUAUUGCAUUUCCCCCCACAUGCAGAUAGAAACUAAGAACUUUUGUAUUGUAAGUGUAAGUCUUGGUGAUCCAUGAGGAAUUUGUAGUUGCAGAAGGUAUGUAUUAAUAGAUUAUUGACAUUUGCAUCAUAUUAACAUAUGGAAUGUUGGGUGAUCCCCAGUAAAGCAUGAGCCUAGCUUAAGAAAGCCAUGUUGAUGGACAGGACUGUUCCCAUAACAUUCUCAGAAGUUCUAUGGGCUCUUUUCCCUCUCAGUCUUAGCUCUGUUCUAUUGCAGGCUACAGCCAGAUGACUGGAUAUGACUGCACUGCCUGAUAUGGCUGGAAGAGGGAGCAAUCUGGUGCAACAAGCCAAUUCUGGUUCUUUUCAGAACUUACCGUUUGACCAGUCAGAAUCUUGUGAAAAGUCAAAUGUAAAAUAUCAAUGCAAUUUACAUCACCAGAUCGUAUAAACCAAACCAGAUAUUUUUUAGCAUUUAUUGUGAUAUUGUGAAUAAAACCUGAAGUUAGGUUUGGGACAUUGGUUAUGGGAUCUUUGGAAGAAUAUGCACAUUGUCAGGGUUACACAAUUAUUUGUAAUACUAUAAAUGCGCUCAAACUACAUAUGAAAAGUAUUUUUUUAUCUUUAUCUUCUAUGUACAAACUCUCCUCUCUGUACCCCAGUAUUUCUUUGAAAUAUUAUUAUAACACCAUAAUGGGCCACAUAGUGUGGAAAACCAUAAUUAUACACUUCCCUUUGAUUUAAAAAAGUAUAUGACCUCUACAUUUAUCUGCUCAAUAUAUUAUAGUCAAAUAAAACCGAUGUCACCUUAAAGUAACUAAUUUGUCAGUGUUUUAUAAUAAAGGUCAAAACUAAUAGUUUUUCCUAUGUAAGGUAGUUAAAUAACAUCUCAGGGGUUUGAAUAGUUUUUUUGUCCCAAGAUACUGUUAAAGCCUUUCCAUGGUUCAUGCAGUUGGAAUUUGGAGAGUUGCAACUGUUUUUAUUUCCACAAGAGGGGGGGCUCCCUUUAUUCUCUGCAUUAUUUCAAUCAAACAUUCCUAGAGUACGGCCUUACAUCACAUUGAAAGCAGC
Long non-coding RNA from Esox lucius (northern pike), 1981 nucleotides. The record is from Ensembl. NCBI's taxonomy places the organism in Eukaryota, Metazoa, Chordata, Actinopteri, Esociformes, Esocidae.